AGUGAACGCUGGCGGUAGGCCUAACACAUGCAAGUCGAACGGCAGCACAGUAAGAGCUUGCUCUUACGGGUGGCGAGUGGCGGACGGGUGCGGAAUACAUCGGAAUCUACUUUUUCGUGGGGGAUAACGUAGGGAAACUUACGCUAAUACCGCAUACGACCUACGGGUGAAAGCCGGGGAUCUUCGGACCUUUCGCGAUUGAAUGAGCCGAUGUCGGAUUAGCUAGUUGGCGGUGUAAAGGCCCACCAAGGCGACGAUCCGUAGCUGGUCUGAGAGGAUGAUCAGCCACACUGGAACUGAGACACGGUCCAGACUCCUACGGGAGGCAGCAGUGGGGAAUAUUGGACAAUGGGCGCAAGCCUGAUCCAGCCAUACCGCGUGGGUGAAGAAGGCCUUCGGGUUGUAAAGCCCUUUUGUUGGGAAAGAAAAGCAGCAGGUUAAUACCCCGCUGUUCUGACGGUACCCAAAGAAUAAGCACCGGCUAACUUCGUG
RNAcentral lists this ribosomal RNA (492 nucleotides) under uncultured bacterium. Its description in RNAcentral is "partial 16S ribosomal RNA". It matches the Rfam family "Bacterial small subunit ribosomal RNA", at positions 29 to 507 of the family's 1533-position model. The record is from RNAcentral.